Molecule: ribosomal RNA, 465 nt
Filed under: Vreelandella stevensii
Lineage: Bacteria; Pseudomonadati; Pseudomonadota; Gammaproteobacteria; Oceanospirillales; Halomonadaceae
Description: partial 16S ribosomal RNA
Rfam family: Bacterial small subunit ribosomal RNA
Source: RNAcentral
CCUACGGGAGGCUGCAGUGGGGAAUAUUGGACAAUGGGGGCAACCCUGAUCCAGCCAUGCCGCGUGUGUGAAGAAGGCCCUCGGGUUGUAAAGCACUUUCAGUGAGGAAGAACGCCUGGUGGUUAAUACCCAUCAGGAAAGACAUCACUCACAGAAGAAGCACCGGCUAACUCCGUGCCAGCAGCCGCGGUAAUACGGAGGGUGCGAGCGUUAAUUGGAAUUACUGGGCGUAAAGCGCGCGUAGGUGGCUUGAUAAGCCGGUUGUGAAAGCCCCGGGCUCAACCUGGGAACGGCAUCCGGAACUGUCAAGCUAGAGUGCAGGAGAGGAAGGUAGAAUUCCCGGUGUAGCGGUGAAAUGCGUAGAGAUCGGGAGGAAUACCAGUGGCGAAGGCGGCCUUCUGGACUGACACUGACACUGAGGUGCGAAAGCGUGGGUAGCAAACAGGAUUAGAUACCCGAGUAGUC